AACGCACAUUGCGCCCUCUGGUAUUCCGGGGGGCAUGCCUGUUCGAGCGUCAUUACAACCCUCAAGCUCUGCUUGGUAUUGGGCCGCGCCGGUUCCGGCGGGCCUCAAAAUCAGUGGCGGUGCCGUCCGGCUCCAAGCGCAGUAAUUCUUCUCGCUUCUGGAGACCUGGGCGUGCGCCUGCCAGCAACCCCCAAUUUAUCAAUGGUUGACCUCGGAUCAGGUAGGGAUACCCGCUGAACUUAA
Molecule: unclassified non-coding RNA, 243 nt
Filed under: uncultured fungus
Lineage: Eukaryota; Fungi
Description: sequence contains ITS2
Rfam family: 5.8S ribosomal RNA (bases 1-52)
Source: RNAcentral